This 449-nucleotide ribosomal RNA is filed under the name uncultured bacterium. Its description in RNAcentral is "partial 16S ribosomal RNA". It matches the Rfam family "Bacterial small subunit ribosomal RNA", at positions 29 to 523 of the family's 1533-position model. The record is from RNAcentral.
AACGAACGCUGGCGGCAUGCCUUACACAUGCAAGUCGAACGAGAUCUUCGGGUCUAGUGGCGCACGGGUGCGUAACGCGUGGGAAUCUGCCCUUUGGUUCGGAAUAACAGUUGGAAACGACUGCUAAUACCGGAUGAUGACGAAAGUCCAAAGAUUUAUCGCCAGAGGAUGAGCCCGCGUAGGAUUAGCUAGUUGGUGUGGUAAAGGCGCACCAAGGCGACGAUCCUUAGCUGGUCUGAGCGGAUGAUCAGCCACACUGGGACUGAGACACGGCCCAGACUCCUACGGGAGGCAGCAGUGGGGAAUAUUGGACAAUGGGCGAAAGCUUGAUCCAGCAAUGCCGCGUGAGUGAUGAAGGCCUUAGGGUUGUAAAGCUCUUUUACCCGGGAUGAUAAUGACAGUACCGGGAGAAUAAGCUCCGGCUAACUCCGUGCCAGCCGCCGCCGUAA